RNAcentral lists this ribosomal RNA (380 nucleotides) under uncultured eukaryote. RNAcentral's name for it is "partial 18S ribosomal RNA". It matches the Rfam family "Eukaryotic small subunit ribosomal RNA", at positions 592 to 976 of the family's 1831-position model. The record is from RNAcentral.
CAAUAGCGUAUAUUAAAGUUGUUGCGGUUAAAAAGCUCGUAGUUGGAUUUCUGCUGAGGACGAUCGGUCCGCCCUCUGGGUGAGUAUCUGGCUCGGCCUUGGCAUCUUCUUGGAGAACGUUACUGCACUUGACUGUGUGGUGCGGUAUCCAGGACUUUUACUUUGAGGAAAUUAGAGUGUUUCAAGCAGGCGCACGCCUUGAAUACAUUAGCAUGGAAUAAUAAGAUAGGACCUUGGUUCUAUUUUGUUGGUUUCUAGAGCUGAGGUAAUGAUUAAUAGGGAUAGUUGGGGGCAUUCGUAUUUAACUGUCAGAGGUGAAAUUCUUGGAUUUGUUAAAGACUGACUACUGCGAAAGCAUUUGCCAAGGAUGUUUUCAUUGA